Molecule: ribosomal RNA, 430 nt
Filed under: bacterium
Lineage: Bacteria
Description: partial 16S ribosomal RNA
Rfam family: Bacterial small subunit ribosomal RNA
Source: RNAcentral
UGGGGAAUAUUGGACAAUGGGCGGAAGCCUGAUCCAGCCAUGCCGCGUGUGUGAAGAAGGCCUUUUGGUUGUAAAGCACUUUAAGCGAGGAGGAGGCUACUUGGAUUAAUACUCUAGGAUAGUGGACGUUACUCGCAGAAUAAGCACCGGCUAACUCUGUGCCAGCAGCCGCGGUAAUACAGAGGGUGCGAGCGUUAAUCGGAUUUACUGGGCGUAAAGCGUGCGUAGGCGGCUUCUUAAGUCGGAUGUGAAAUCCCUGAGCUUAACUUAGGAACUGCAGUCGAUACUGGGAAGCUAGAGUAUGGGAGAGGAUGGUAGAAUUCCAGGUGUAGCGGUGAAAUGCGUAGAGAUCUGGAGGAAUACCGAUGGCGAAGGCAGCCAUCUGGCCUAAUACUGACGCUGAGGUACGAAAGCAUGGGGAGCAAACAGG